This 399-nucleotide ribosomal RNA is filed under the name uncultured bacterium. Its description in RNAcentral is "bacterial SSU rRNA". It matches the Rfam family "Bacterial small subunit ribosomal RNA", at positions 43 to 488 of the family's 1533-position model. The record is from RNAcentral.
CAGGCCUAACACAUGCAAGUCGAACGAUGGCUUUGGCCAUAGUGGCGCACGGGUGCGUAACGCGUGGGAAUCUGCCCUUGGGUUCGGAAUAACCAGGAGAAAUUCUGGCUAAUACCGGAUGAUGACGUAAGUCCAAAGAUUUAUCGCCCAAGGAUGAGCCCGCGUAGGAUUAGCUUGUUGGUGAGGUAAAGGCUCACCAAGGCGACGAUCCUUAGCUGGUCUGAGAGGAUGAUCAGCCACACUGGGACUGAGACACGGCCCAGACUCCUACGGGAGGCAGCAGUGGGGAAUAUUGGACAAUGGGCGAAAGCCUGAUCCAGCAAUGCCGCGUGAGUGAUGAAGGCCUUAGGGUUGUAAAGCUCUUUUACCCGGGAUGAUAAUGACAGUACCGGGAGAAUA